Molecule: signal recognition particle RNA, 93 nt
Filed under: Candidatus Ancillula trichonymphae
Lineage: Bacteria; Bacillati; Actinomycetota; Actinomycetes; Bifidobacteriales; Bifidobacteriaceae
Description: signal recognition particle sRNA small type
Rfam family: Bacterial small signal recognition particle RNA
About the family: The signal recognition particle (SRP) is a universally conserved ribonucleoprotein involved in the co-translational targeting of proteins to membranes. Archaeal SRP consists of a 7S RNA and homologues of the eukaryotic SRP19 and SRP54 proteins.
Source: RNAcentral
GACGCCUAGUGCGGAUUGCGUCGCGCUGAACCUCCCCAGGACAGGAAUGUAGCAAGGAUAGGUGAUUGUCGCUGUGGUGCGCUAGGCACCUUC